RNAcentral lists this ribosomal RNA (484 nucleotides) under uncultured bacterium. RNAcentral's name for it is "partial 16S ribosomal RNA". It matches the Rfam family "Bacterial small subunit ribosomal RNA", at positions 30 to 507 of the family's 1533-position model. The record is from RNAcentral.
AUUGAACGCUGGCGGCAGGCCUAACACAUGCAAGUCGAGCGGAUGAAGGGAGCUUGCUCCUGGAUUCAGCGGCGGACGGGUGAGUAAUGCCUAGGAAUCUGCCUGGUAGUGGGGGAUAACGUCCGGAAACGGGCGCUAAUACCGCAUACGUCCUGAGGGAGAAAGUGGGGGAUCUUCGGACCUCGCGCUAUCAGAUGAGCCUAGGUCGGAUUAGCUAGUUGGUGGGGUAAAGGCCUACCAAGGCGACGAUCCGUAACUGGUCUGAGAGGAUGAUCAGUCACACUGGAACUGAGACACGGUCCAGACUCCUACGGGAGGCAGCAGUGGGGAAUAUUGGACAAUGGGCGAAAGCCUGAUCCAGCCAUGCCGCGUGUGUGAAGAAGGUCUUCGGAUUGUAAAGCACUUUAAGUUGGGAGGAAGGGCAGUAAGUUAAUACCUCGCUGUUUUGACGUUACCAACAGAAUAAGCACCGGCUAACUUCGUG